Molecule: ribosomal RNA, 555 nt
Filed under: uncultured organism
Description: bacterial SSU rRNA
Rfam family: Bacterial small subunit ribosomal RNA
Source: RNAcentral
GAUACUGGGAGACUUGAGUCAUGGAGAGGAAGACGGAAUUCCUGGUGUAGGGGUGAAAUCUAUAGAUAUCAGGAAGAACACCGAUUGCGAAGGCUGUCUUCUGGACAUUAACUGACGCUGAUGUACGAAAGUUAGGGUAGCAAACAGGAUUAGAGACCCUGGUAGUCCUGACUGUAAACGUUGUAUACCAGAUGGUGGGAGUAUUGAUCCUUUCACUGUCGCAGCUAACGCAUUAAGUAUACCGCCUGGGGAAUAUGCCGGCAACGGUGAAACUCAAAGGAAUUGACGGGGGCCCGCACAAGCAGUGGAGCACGUUGUUUAAUUCGAUGAUACGCGAGAAACCUUACCAGGUCUUGACAUAUACCUGAAUGGUGUAGAAAUACAUCAGUCCUUCGGGACGGGUUUACAGGUGCUGCAUGGUUGUCGUCAGCUCGUGCCGUGAGGUGUUGGGUUAAGUCCCGCAACGAGCGCAACCCCUAUUCUUUGUUGCUAACGCAUUAUGGCGAGCACUCUAAGGAGACUGCCGGUGACAAGCCGGAGGAAGGUGGGGACGAC